UAUAUUUUAGUAUAAGAUGUAUAAAGGUUUUUGAAACCUUAGGAGAUAGUUUAAUUCUAUCAAAUGUAA
RNAcentral lists this transfer RNA (69 nucleotides) under Sclerotia fui. Its description in RNAcentral is "tRNA-Gln". It matches the Rfam family "tRNA". Rfam says of the family: Transfer RNA (tRNA) molecules are approximately 80 nucleotides in length. Their secondary structure includes four short double-helical elements and three loops (D, anti-codon, and T loops). The record is from RNAcentral. Lineage: Eukaryota; Metazoa; Arthropoda; Insecta; Coleoptera; Lampyridae.